Long non-coding RNA from Mauremys reevesii (Reeves's turtle), 1806 nucleotides. RefSeq lists it as uncharacterized. NCBI's taxonomy places the organism in Eukaryota, Metazoa, Chordata, Testudines, Geoemydidae. The transcript is spliced from 3 exons. The record is from RefSeq and is a predicted model, not a curated record.
AAGAAAUCUAGCUCCUUUUCAGCAACAUGUGAGAGAGAAUGAACACAAGUAAACUUUAAUGUCACCAUAGAGAAUAAGACAUAGAUAAGGGGUCUCCGGGAUCCGGGAGAAGAUUGGUUGCUAAUUACACAGAACCUGGAAAGAGGGCACAGAAGGGAGACCAAAGAACAAUGAUGUUUCGCUCCAGUGAUCACUUAUAGGAGGAAGAUCUGCUGCUGCUGCAAAGUUCUGAGUGGCCAUGAAUUGCAACAUAAUGACAAGCUGUAAAAAUAUCAUGAGACAAGAGUCAUCUGAUUUGUUAUUGUAUCCUUUUGUGUUAAAAGGAAGAAUGAAGAGCAUUCUCUGGGUAUGUCUACACUGCAAUGUAAGCCUGGACUCAGCCUCCAGCCUAACACUCCUUCUGUCUAUUAAAGUAGCACUAACACAGGGCUUGGACCCAGGGCCCCAGAAGCCUGCGGGGCUGCAGGGUCUGAGCACAAGUCAAGUCUUAACCGAGGGUUCAAGCUCUAUUGCUUUGCAGUGCAGAAUAGCCUCGCUUGACCUGGACCUAGGAGUCCUCCAAAAAGUAUCCCACAAUCCCGUGGGCCAACUUCCUUUGUCCUCUCUAUCCCAAGAAUCUUGAAUCUACUCUAUUGAAAACAGAAGCAACCACCCUUGGUGUACUGCAGCAACUCAGUUAGUUAGCAUUAACCCUUCCAUUGUCUUCUGACCACCGAGCUGCAAACACACCAUCAGAGAGCCUUCAGUGUUUGCAAUGAAGACUGAACAGAACAAGCCUUUUGCAAAGCACACUACUUUGUGGUCAUGGGGACACACCCUGAUUUUGGUAAAUCUCUGAUGCAAGGCCAGCAAAACUGUGGACUUAAGUAAGAGUACCAGGAAUGACUACGCAUAUUAAUAAAUAGUGAAGAAGCUGGCAGCUUUGCAAAUUUACACAACCAGUACCCAGUGCAAGGGAGUGGUUUAAAUGGCUCAAGAGUGAGUACCAGAAACUCAGGGAACAGAACCACACCUCAGGCAACUCGCCAAAAUCAUGUGUGUUAUGAGAAGUCUGGUUGCUGAGCACUGCGCUGAGCAUGGAGCCAACAGUGGUACAUGAUGACCUGGUCAGCCAGGAUGAGGCUCCACUGUCUUCAGAAUCCACCAUAGGGACUGAUGGGAACCUGCAGCAGUCUCCAAGUGGGGACAAUGAAGUCACUCUGUUGCUGAGACCUGUUCCAGAGCAGACUUUGGAGCAGGAGCAGGAGCAGCAGCAGCACAUUCUGGGUCUGUACUCAUACGGGCUGAUGCACUCCCCAAGGAGCAGCCCAUGGCGGAGCCUGCAGCAGACACACAUGGGAUCAAAGCUGUUCCUAAGCCCCAGGAAGUUUCUGGCUCCAUUUUAAUGUUUAUUAAUACAGUAAUGUGGCCAAUGCAAAAGUUAUGAAAACCCCAGCUAGCAGCCUGUAUCUGCUAGUGGCGGAUUAUAUGCCAGCAGUAUGGCUCUUCCACCCAACCACCGCCACCACGUGGAGUUCAAAAUGGCGACCAGGACAUGCAAACAGCAAAGAACAACUUUAAAGUAUUUUUACUGGAAAGGCACAGAUUUUUGCUAGGCCAUUCCUAUUUCUUAAAAACAAUAACCUUACAUUGCCAUGCCAGGAAGUACGCCACUCUGUAACCAUUCUACAGUCUAUCGAGCUGCCUGGAAACAGUGAACUCUGUGAGUGUUUGGGGAAAUGUGUUCCAUUCACAAAUCUAGUCCAUUGUAGUCAGUGCAGUCCAUUGAUGGCAAUUUUUUCCCCCCAAAUAUGACUGCGGUUUGAA